This 49-nucleotide transfer RNA is filed under the name Phrynocephalus guttatus kushakewitschi. RNAcentral's name for it is "partial tRNA-Tyr". Lineage: Eukaryota; Metazoa; Chordata; Lepidosauria; Squamata; Agamidae. The record is from RNAcentral.
AGGCGGUGGUUUGUAAUUCCAUUUAUGGGGUGGUGAACUCCUCUUAUCA